RNAcentral lists this ribosomal RNA (467 nucleotides) under uncultured bacterium. RNAcentral describes it as "partial 16S ribosomal RNA". It matches the Rfam family "Bacterial small subunit ribosomal RNA", at positions 28 to 506 of the family's 1533-position model. The record is from RNAcentral.
GACGAACGCUGGCGGCGCGCCUAACACAUGCAAGUCGAACGGAGUCAAGAGGAGCUUGCUUUUCUUGACUUAGUGGCGAACGGGUGAGUAACGCGUGAGUAACCUGCCCUGGAGUGGGGGACAACAGUUGGAAACGACUGCUAAUACCGCAUAAGCCCACGGAUCCGCAUGGAUCUGCGGGAAAAGGAUUUAUUCGCUUCAGGAUGGACUCGCGUCCAAUUAGCUAGUUGGUGAGGUAACGGCCCACCAAGGCGACGAUUGGUAGCCGGACUGAGAGGUUGAACGGCCACAUUGGGACUGAGACACGGCCCAGACUCCUACGGGAGGCAGCAGUGGGGGAUAUGGCACAAUGGGGGAAACCCUGAUGCAGCGACGCCGCGUGGAGGAAGAAGGUUUUCGGAUUGUAAACUCCUGUCGUUAGGGACGAUAAUGACGGUACCUAACAAGAAAACACCGGCUAACUACGU